CCUAUGAUUUUUGGAUGAGGAAGGGUUUUUUCAUAUGAUCUUUUCUUCUUUCCUCUCUUCCUCCUUUUCUCACUUCUCUUUUCUCUUAAUUUUCUCUUUUUUUUUCUCUUACUUUCUUCUUUUUUUCACAAUUUUUCUCUUUUUUUUUUCUUUUCUUAUUUUUUUCUUUAUUUUCACGCAUUUUCUCUUUUUUUCUUUUCUAUCAACCACUUCUUUUUCUUUUUCCUCAUCAUCUUUAUCUUCCUUACUCAACCUUUCUGUCUCUACCUCCUCAUCAACAACCUUAUCAUUUUCAAAGAUAGUGGCUUGACACUCCUCGUUAAGGUUAACUUCAGUACUAAACCUAAAAUCAUCCAGAGAUGCAGUCAUGCAACCCAAUUCUAUCUUCUUCCUUUUACAUCUUGCGUCAUCACAUUCUAAAAAGGAGAUAAUAUUCUGC
Molecule: long non-coding RNA, 439 nt
Filed under: Vigna radiata
Lineage: Eukaryota; Viridiplantae; Streptophyta; Magnoliopsida; Fabales; Fabaceae
Description: long non-coding RNA (VRAD_LNC008198)
Source: RNAcentral